UGGGGAAUAUUGCGCAAUGGGCGAAAGCCUGACGCAGCGACGCAGCGUGAGGGACGAAGGCCUUCGGGUUGUAAACCUCUUUCAGCGGGGACGAAGCGAAAGUGACGGUACCCGCAGAAGAAGCACCGGCUAACUACGUGCCAGCAGCCGCGGUAAUACGUAGGGUGCAAGCAUUGUCCGGAUUUAUUGGGCGUAAAGAGCUCGUAGGCGGCUUGUCACGUCGGAUGUGAAAACUCGGGGCUCAACCCCG
RNAcentral lists this ribosomal RNA (250 nucleotides) under uncultured bacterium. RNAcentral's name for it is "partial 16S ribosomal RNA". It matches the Rfam family "Bacterial small subunit ribosomal RNA", at positions 355 to 617 of the family's 1533-position model. The record is from RNAcentral.